GGAAAAGAAACCAACGGGGAUUACCUUAGUAACGGCGAGUGAAGCGGUAAAAGCUCAAAUUUGAAAUCUGGUACUUUCAGUGCCCGAGUUGUAAUUUGUAGAAUUUGUCUUUGAUUAGGUCCUUGUCUAUGUUCCUUGGAACAGGACGUCAUAGAGGGUGAGAAUCCCGUUUGGCGAGGAUACCUUUUCUCUGUAAGACUUUUUCGAAGAGUCGAGUUGUUUGGGAAUGCAGCUCAAAGUGGGUGGUAAAUUCCAUCUAAAGCUAAAUAUUGGCGAGAGACCGAUAGCGAACAAGUACAGUGAUGGAAAGAUGAAAAGAACUUUGAAAAGAGAGUGAAAAAGUACGUGAAAUUGUUGAAAGGGAAGGGCAUUUGAUCAGACAUGGUGUUUUUUGCAUGCACUCGCCUCUCGUGGGCUUGGGCCUCUCAAAAAUUUCACUGGGCCAACAUCAGUUCUGGCAGCAGGAUAAAUCAUUAAGAAUGUAGCUACCUCGGUAGUGUUAUAGCUUAUUGGAAUACUGCUAGCUGGGAUUGAGGACUGCGCUUCGGCAAGGAUGUUGGCAUAAUGGUUAAAUGCCGCCC
This 581-nucleotide ribosomal RNA is filed under the name Hanseniaspora guilliermondii. RNAcentral's name for it is "eukaryotic LSU rRNA". It matches the Rfam family "Eukaryotic large subunit ribosomal RNA", at positions 55 to 650 of the family's 3401-position model. The record is from RNAcentral. Lineage: Eukaryota; Fungi; Ascomycota; Saccharomycetes; Saccharomycodales; Saccharomycodaceae.